Molecule: ribosomal RNA, 466 nt
Filed under: Vreelandella stevensii
Lineage: Bacteria; Pseudomonadati; Pseudomonadota; Gammaproteobacteria; Oceanospirillales; Halomonadaceae
Description: partial 16S ribosomal RNA
Rfam family: Bacterial small subunit ribosomal RNA
Source: RNAcentral
CCUACGGGUGGCUGCAGUGGGGAAUAUUGGACAAUGGGCGAAAGCCUGAUCCAGCCAUGCCGCGUGUGUGAAGAAGGCCUUCGGGUUGUAAAGCACUUUCAGUGGGGAAGAAAGCCUUGGGGCUAAUACCCUCGAGGAAGGACAUCACCCACAGAAGAAGCACCGGCUAACUCCGUGCCAGCAGCCGCGGUAAUACGGAGGGUGCGAGCGUUAAUCGGAAUUACUGGGCGUAAAGCGCGCGUAGGCGGUCUGAUAAGCCGGUUGUGAAAGCCCCGGGCUCAACCUGGGAACGGCAUCCGGAACUGGCAGGCUAGAGUGGAGGAGAGGAAGGUAGAAUUCCCGGUGUAGCGGGGAAAUGCGUAGAGAUCGGGAGGAAUACCAGUGGCGAAGGCGGCCUUCUGGACUGACACUGACGCUGAGGUGCGAAAGCGUGGGUAGCAAACAGGAUUAGAUACCCCGGGUAGUC